Molecule: long non-coding RNA, 1153 nt
Organism: Neolamprologus brichardi
Lineage: Eukaryota; Metazoa; Chordata; Actinopteri; Cichliformes; Cichlidae
Source: RefSeq, a predicted model, not a curated record
AAUCAUGUGAAGAUUUAGGAGAAUUUUGCAGCAUGAGCAGACUGAGCAUUUCACUUGGCUCAUCUGUGUUCCUACCAUGCACUGCUCGGCCAGCCAGUUCCAACUGGGUGACAUGGAGCCACAUUCCCAACAUGUUAAGUACCAGGACCCCAGAAAUGGCAGAGUUAAAACCUUUCCAUUUUGGAGCUUGGAGGGAAACUACUCCAUCAGAAUUGAUGAUCUUGGGUUAACAGACCUCGGAUGUUACUCCUGUAUACAAGGUGAAAACUGUUUUCAAGUGGUGAUGGUUGAAGUAGAACCACGUGCAGGUACAAGGAGGGACAUGCAGAUGAUUUACAUCUGUGUUAGUGUGGCUGCUCUCCUUCUGCUGUGUGUUGGCGUCUACACCUGCAAGAAAUGCAUAGGAACAAAAAGGUAAAGGACAACAGAAUUUUCCACUCCUACAUGUUCAUCUUCAGCAGAGGGGGGAAAACAAACAAAAACUAAAGAAGAAAAGCCUAAAAAGAACGCAAAGAAUAAUGAUAAAAUAUAUUCAACAAAUAAAUAAAUUAUUCACAGCUAAAAAGAAAAAAUCAUUGUUAAUUCUGCUCUGUUACUUUUUCGUUUUGUAUAUAAUCCAACUUAAUUUGAUUUCUUGUGGUUACUUUUUCCUUUAAAUUGUUUUUUGGUGAACUGUGUGUUCCAUCAUUGUAACACAGGUCUAUGCCUUACUUUCUGGUUGAAUCAUUAUAAUGUUCUGUGAACUGUUUUGGACUAUUAUUAAAUAAAUCAAAGAAGAAAUUUGCAGGAUGAUGAUCAAUGGAGAUACAACUUCCAUUAAACCAUAAAUGGAAUUUAAGGUUUAAUGCAUUAAAUCAUAUUUGUAUAUAGCCUAUAGUGUAGCUCCAACACCCUCGAGCUCAGGAGAAAAGUGAAUGAGGGCACGCUGUUGAACAAAACAUGCUUCAGAAUUAUUUCCAUACCUCACCUGUACUGGCUGGUUAACGGGACAGACAACAACAAUCCAAAAUAAAGAAUGAAAUUCACACCUCUUUUGUUACACAGCAUUUUGAGAUCCCACUCUACUUUCUAGUCUGUCACUUUGGACUGGCUUCAGGUUUUUCUUUAUUCAAGGAUUAAAAUGGGGUUUUGGCAGGCAAACACAGUCCAAACA